AGUGAACGCUGGCGGUAGGCCUAACACAUGCAAGUCGAACGGCAGCACAGUAAGAGCUUGCUCUUACGGGUGGCGAGUGGCGGACGGGUGAGGAAUACAUCGGAAUCUACUUUUUCGUGGGGGAUAACGUAGGGAAACUUACGCUAAUACCGCAUACGACCUACGGGUGAAAGCAGGGGAUCUUCGGACCUUGCGCGAUUGAAUGAGCCGAUGUCGGAUUAGCUAGUUGGCGGGGUAAAGGCCCACCAAGGCGACGAUCCGUAGCUGGUCUGAGAGGAUGAUCAGCCAAACUGGAACUUAGACACGGUCCAGACUCCUACGGGAGGGAGCAGUGGGGAAUAUUGGACAAUGGGCGCAAGCCUGAUCCAGCCAUACCGCGUGGGUGAAGAAGGCCUUCGGGUUGUAAAGCCCUUUUGUUGGGAAAGAAAAGCAGCAGGUUAAUACCCCGCUGUUCUGACGGUACCCAAAGAAUAAGCACCGGCUAACUUCGUG
This 492-nucleotide ribosomal RNA is filed under the name uncultured bacterium. RNAcentral describes it as "partial 16S ribosomal RNA". It matches the Rfam family "Bacterial small subunit ribosomal RNA", at positions 29 to 507 of the family's 1533-position model. The record is from RNAcentral.